AUUGAACGCUGGCGGCAUGCCUUACACAUGCAAGUCGAACGGCAGCACGGGAGCAAUCCUGGUGGCGAGUGGCGAACGGGUGAGUAAUAUAUCGGAACGUGCCCAGUCGUGGGGGAUAACGUAGCGAAAGCUACGCUAAUACCGCAUACGAUCUAUGGAUGAAAGCGGGGGAUCGCAAGACCUCGCGCGAUUGGAGCGGCCGAUAUCAGAUUAGGUAGUUGGUGGGGUAAAGGCCCACCAAGCCAACGAUCUGUAGCUGGUCUGAGAGGACGACCAGCCACACUGGAACUGAGACACGGUCCAGACUCCUACGGGAGGCAGCAGUGGGGAAUUUUGGACAAUGGGCGAAAGCCUGAUCCAGCCAUUCCGCGUGCAGGAUGAAGGCCCCCGGGUUGUAAACUGCUUUUGUACAGAACGAAAAGGUUUCUACUAAUACUAGGAGCUCAUGACGGUACUGUAAGAAUAAGCACCGGCUAACUACGUGCCAGCCGCCGCGGUAA
Molecule: ribosomal RNA, 500 nt
Filed under: uncultured bacterium
Lineage: Bacteria
Description: partial 16S ribosomal RNA
Rfam family: Bacterial small subunit ribosomal RNA
Source: RNAcentral